This 353-nucleotide long non-coding RNA is filed under the name Anser brachyrhynchus (Pink-footed goose). Its description in RNAcentral is "lncRNA (ENSABRG00000015537.1)". Lineage: Eukaryota; Metazoa; Chordata; Aves; Anseriformes; Anatidae. The record is from RNAcentral.
CGAAGGUGCGAUGGAUCAGAAGUUUGGUGCAGGCAGGGCAGAUGACGCGGGACUGUCAGAUGAGACCUUGUGCUUUUAAUCUUCAAUUCUGUUAUUGAUUACAGCAUCACUGUAAUACAUCAGGAUAUUUGGUUGCAGUGUAUGGAGGCACUAGAGAAUUUCCUAAAGUGGAAAACAUGACCAGAGCUGCCUGGGCUGUGCGGGAUGCUGUGCCCAGGAGCUCCCAGGCGCUGCGGCUGUGCGACGUGACGGGUGCCGGAGCUUUGUGCACCAGGACUGAAGGAGCAGAAGUUUGGAAUCACAGUGGAGCUCGUGUCAUUUCCAGUUUGUGGACAUACCUGAUGUGUAAUUAA